AGACCUGAAGAUCAUGGUACAGCAAUGGGCGGACGAGGAGGACAAAGAACAUGAGAGGUUUGAUCGCAAUCGUUGGUGCAACAACAACAGCCAAGGUAACAAAAAAAACCAAGACAGAAAUCGCAACAAUGAUAGUCGAAACAAUUACUCAGGUCACCAGAAUCGCAAGUGCAAACCCAACAACACGGUUGCAACACUUACCAACUCAGGCAAAAAGGGGGCAAACAAUCACAACGACAGCCCUCAUACAGCGAGUUACUCAAGAAGCAAUGCCCAUGGCAUCCACACAGUAACCACUCC
This 300-nucleotide long non-coding RNA is filed under the name Setaria viridis. Its description in RNAcentral is "long non-coding RNA (SVIR_LNC003526)". Lineage: Eukaryota; Viridiplantae; Streptophyta; Magnoliopsida; Poales; Poaceae. The record is from RNAcentral.